Non-coding RNA from Candida dubliniensis CD36, 95 nucleotides. The record is from the annotation of a RefSeq genome assembly. Lineage: Eukaryota; Fungi; Ascomycota; Pichiomycetes; Serinales; Debaryomycetaceae.
GGUCCCUUGGCCCAGUUGGUUAAGGCGUGGUGCUAAUAAUUUACUAAAAAAAAGUUGUUACGCCAAGAUCAGCAGUUCGAUCCUGCUAGGGACCA